UGCAGUCGAACGGAAAGGCCCUUCGGGGUACUCGAGUGGCGAACGGGUGAGUAACACGUGGGUGAUCUGCCCUGCACUUUGGGAUAAGCCUGGGAAACUGGGUCUAAUACCGAAUAUGAUCAUGGCCUUCAUGGGUUGUGGUGGAAAGCUUUUGCGGUGUGGGAUGGGCCCGCGGCCUAUCAGCUUGUUGGUGGGGUAAUGGCCUACCAAGGCGACGACGGGUAGCCGGCCUGAGAGGGUGUCCGGCCACACUGGGACUGAGAUACGGCCCAGACUCCUACGGGAGGCAGCAGUGGGGAAUAUUGCACAAUGGGCGCAAGCCUGAUGCAGCGACGCCGCGUGAGGGAUGACGGCCUUCGGGUUGUAAACCUCUUUCAGCAGGGACGAAGCGCAAGUGACGGUACCUGUAGAAGAAGGACCGGCCAACUACGUGCCAGCAGCCGCGGUAAUACGUAGGGUCCGAGCGUUGUCCGGAAUUACUGGGCGUAAAGAGCUCGUAGGUGGUUUGUCGCGUUGUUCGUGAAAACUCACAGCUUAACUGUGGGCGUGCGGGCGAUACGGGCAGACUUGAGUACUGCAGGGGAGACUGGAAUUCCUGGUGUAGCGGUGGAAUGCGCAGAUAUCAGGAGGAACACCGGUGGCGAAGGCGGGUCUCUGGGCAGUAACUGACGCUGAGGAGCGAAAGCGUGGGGAGCGAACAGGAUUAGAUACCCUGGUAGUCCACGCCGUAAACGGUGGGUACUAGGUGUGGGUUUCCUUCCUUGGGAUCCGUGCCGUAGCUAACGCAUUAAGUACCCCGCCUGGGGAGUACGGCCGCAAGGCUAAAACUCAAAGAAAUUGACGGGGGCCCGCACAAGCGGCGGAGCAUGUGGAUUAAUUCGAUGCAACGCGAAGAACCUUACCUGGGUUUGACAUGCACAGGACGUGCCUAGAGAUAGGUAUUCCCUUGUGGCCUGUGUGCAGGUGGUGCAUGGCUGUCGUCAGCUCGUGUCGUGAGAUGUUGGGUUAAGUCCCGCAACGAGCGCAACCCUUAUCUUAUGUUGCCAGCGCGUAAUGGCGGGGACUCGUGAGAGACUGCCGGGGUCAACUCGGAGGAAGGUGGGGAUGACGUCANGUCAUCAUGCCCCUUAUGUCCAGGGCUUCACACAUGCUACAAUGGCCGGUACAAAGGGCUGCGAUGCCGUGAGGUGGAGCGAAUCCUUUCAAAGCCGGUCUCAGUUCGGAUCGGGGUCUGCAACUCGACCCCGUGAAGUCGGAGUCGCUA
RNAcentral lists this ribosomal RNA (1264 nucleotides) under Mycobacterium sp. RNAcentral describes it as "bacterial SSU rRNA". It matches the Rfam family "Bacterial small subunit ribosomal RNA", at positions 56 to 1337 of the family's 1533-position model. Lineage: Bacteria; Bacillati; Actinomycetota; Actinomycetes; Mycobacteriales; Mycobacteriaceae. The record is from RNAcentral.